AUUGUGGCAACUGUUGAAGAGUACUUCUUCAGGAUUGUAUCUGCAUAUUUGAAGAAAAAAGAGGACAAUAUUCCUUGGGCUGCAUUGUUACAUAUUAGAAGCAUGGUUGCCUUAGAAUGACCUUGAAGGAUGUCAAAGCUACUGGGACCUUUGACAACGGCAGUUCCCAAUAUUGCUAGAAAAUUGAAGAUAGCACCAUACCCAUACAAAAACAAGUUCUGAAGAUAUAUGCUUGUAUCAUAUUGGCUCUUCA
RNAcentral lists this unclassified non-coding RNA (253 nucleotides) under Hevea brasiliensis (rubber tree). The record is from RNAcentral. Lineage: Eukaryota; Viridiplantae; Streptophyta; Magnoliopsida; Malpighiales; Euphorbiaceae.